This is a long non-coding RNA of Hordeum vulgare subsp. vulgare (domesticated barley), 7031 nucleotides long. RefSeq lists it as uncharacterized. The record is from RefSeq and is a predicted model, not a curated record. The transcript is spliced from 3 exons. Lineage: Eukaryota; Viridiplantae; Streptophyta; Magnoliopsida; Poales; Poaceae.
CCGCACUCGCGCCCCCACCCUAGCCGCACCCACUCACUCUCAUCUCUUCCCCGAUCCCCUCACACGAACCCUAGCCGCCGCUACCCAGCGGGCCCUGCAGCCGUCGUCGCGCUACCAUCCUCCUCCCCUCGUGACCGUGCUUCCUUCCCUCUGGCCAGACCCGCUCCUCAUACCGCGACAAUGAUGGAGGGAUCCGUCGGCGCCGACCAGGGUCCCAACUGACGGACUCGUCGGGUCGCUGCUCCUCGGGGCAAGCCCCUCCCUCUGCGCUGGCUUGGGAACCCCUCGGGGAUGCCGCCGGUGCGGUGGGACGCCCAUGGCCGCACGGGCUGGGCACCGAGCGGUGGGGCCUGUGGCGGGGGUUCCGGUCAGGAGCUUGGUCAGGCAGGUGUCGACCUGAGCCGCCGGCGCUUGGCUGCAUGUUGUUCGCUCUGGAUCCGUUCACGCCCCAAGGGCGUCCGUGGGCGUCACGGCGACUUCAUUGGCCAGCGCAGUUUUUCAUGUAGGCUGUUCUACUUCUUCGAAUCCAGGCGGCACAAGGAGGACCCCGUGCUGAUCUGGCUUACGGGAGGGCGUGGCUGCAGCAGCGAGCUAGCCCUCUUCUAUGAGAAUGGCCCCUUCCACAUAGCGGAUGACAUGUCACUACUCUGGAAUGAGUUUGGCUAGGAUCAGGUAUAUAUACAAACAGUUUGUGUACUUAUCAAUCAAUUUGUAUAGUUUUGUUCUUAGAGAUUGUUUAGACCCUGUACAAUAUUCUCUCUUUUUGAAAUUGGAUAUUGGCUGUUGCACGAUUCCAAUCUUAUCUAUGUUGAUCAUCCAAUUGGGACUAGGUUCACCUACAACUCUGAUUCGUGUGACACUCACCAUAACAGAGCGAGGGUCAGCAAUGACCUAUAUGAAUUCCUAUAGGUAAUAUGUGUCCCUGUUGUGAUAGGAUGCAUAAAUGAAGUGAAGGCACCAAUUCAUUAUUAUGGAUUUGAAAUAUUACGUUAUGCAUUCCCGGCCAGUGAGCAUAUAUAUGUAGAGGAACACAUGCAUCGUUGCUCCUUACCAUUAUUGUGGGUGCUUCCUAUUGUGGCGACAAGGUUAGUUAUGCAAUAUUUGAGGUGAACCUGAGUGAUUGCCCUUAUUGCGAGUUGCAAUCAAGAUGCAAAAAUGGCCUUUUGUGUAUUUCCUCAUUAGUUCCUUGCGUCUUUCUGCAUGCGAUUUUGAUAGGCCUUCUUCAAGGAGCACCCAGAGUUUGUUGAAAACAAUUUAUAUAUAACUAGGUAGUCAUAUGCUGGGGCACUACAUUCCUGCCUUUGCAACUCGGGUAUACAAGGGGAACAAGAACAAUGAGGGCAUUCACAUCAAUCUGAAGGUUUAGUCAUCUCUUUAUGGAUUAGCCCAUAAUGUUCUGUGCUAUAAAGAUUUUUGUCAUUUUAAUCCACUCUUUCUGUUACUUCUCAAGGGUUUUGCAAUUGGUAAUGGACUUGCAUAUCCAGAGAUACAGUAUAAUGCAUACAUCGAUUAUAAAUUUGAUAUGGGUUUUUUCACACAAUCUAAAUUCGAAAUGUGCUAUAUAAACAAAUUUCUCUAUUUUAUGUUCUUUAGAAGUACACACAAUCUUGGACUAGAUGCAAAAAAUGUGUUGUAUAACAUCCUUUAACUGACUAUGAAUCAGUGUUUUGUAGGAUUGUAUGCCAUGUUAUGGAAAGAGAUGCUCAAGUUUGAAAACAUUUUUGGUGUAUUUUUUGUUUCGAUAGCAAGCACAUGUCAUGAUGGGUUCCCACUGAAGUGCAUAGAAUGCACAAUGCAUUACCAGGUGUGCCUUGUCUGCGACAAUGACCUUUGGACCAACAACACCUGAACAUUCUGGACUACCUCUCUUCAGGUGUGCCUUAUCUACCAGUUCUGGUUGGUUGGAGCUCAUCCUUGUUUUGCUUGUUUUCCCUUGCAGGUUGCUCUGAUGAGGGUGCUCGUGGCUGUCAUCGGUUUGUCCUGCUCCAUCUUUGGUUGCUGCUCUGCAGGUUUUUCUUUUUCUUUUCCUAUUCUCAGUUCUCCAAACAUGCAGGUUUUCCUAUUCUCAGCUCUACCAAUGGUUCCGUGUGGAUUGUAAAAAAGUAGGAUCAUGUUUGUUUUUCAUCUGUUGAAUGGACUACUAUGGGAAAUAACCAUAGAAAAUUGACCACAUGUUCACAACGACAAUCUCUUCUCGGCAAGCACAGACCACAGGGCCGUCUUCCUCUCUCGCCUCUUCCAUACCGUCCUAGAUGCGGCAGACCUUAUCCUCGAGAAGCUCCUAUACUAGGUACAAACGUUUAGAUUCAGGCCCUCUCCCUCUCCUUCUACAUCUUUGUAAAAAUAGUCUAAACAUUUCUUUAGAAAUAUACAUGGUUGACUGAUUUGGUUCCUUGGGUAUUGACCUAUGCAAAAUAUGAAAUUAGACUAUGGACCAGUAUUGCGCCAUUGAUUAUAAUGAGAGUAUAACUAUAUGCUCGCUGCAUCAUGCUCUUUACCUCAAGAUGUUUGAUAUAUGCUCAUCUUGUAUAGUUUAACUUUUUGCUAAUUAUCGAAUUGUUUUGUUUUUCAGUGUUCAUCAUGUACCUCUAAAGGCAUGAAAAGGAACAUCAUCAAACAUUCUAUUUAUUCCCCAUUUAGUUUAUUUAUUGUCUUACAUGGCUAAUUUAGUGCUUGGGGCUACUUCUAUUUUUAGUUUGCUAUCCAGGUUUUUAGCCGCCAAGAGCAGUUCAAGCCCCAGGCGCCAAGCUACUUCGACACAGGUCUAUCUUUCUCUUUCCAUAGUAUUCAUCUUCUAGACGAAUUUUAUCCUUUGAAUUACUGCAGUAAAUUAAGUUGGCACAAACAAUUCUAUUUCAAGAUAUACUAUCUGAGGUGUGAACAAGAUGAAAAUGAUCGCGUAGGUAGUUGGUCUAUAUGGUUUAUAAUCCCUUUUAUUGAGAUCAUAUGAACUUUAGUCUGCUCUAGCUCUGAAUUGCUCUGCAUUGUUUGGUAUCCAAUUUAGCGUUAGGUUUCAGAUAACAGAGCAAUUGAUGAGAGGCACACAUGAGCACAUACUGUUCUUUGAGAGAACACACACACACACACACACACACACACACACACACACACGGAUACACACAUAUUUUUUAGCUACUCACACACAUGAAACACAUACUUAGUUGUUGAGUAAAAUAUGCAUUAGAACACUUUCUUACCACAUAAUUUAGCAGACAAACAUGAGCAAAUGAGAAAGGAGUGAUUCAAACAUGAGAAGAUGAGGGAUGACAAACGCAUGCUCAUCAAGAAGCAUACCAGCAUGUGGAUUAAUAAUGGAAGGGGAAGGAAACUUGCUUCUUUGCAUUUUUUAUAUAGUAUAGAAGGGCAAAUGGUCGACAUUCUAAAUGUUAGGAAAGGAACCGACACAGUCCAUGUAUAAGUAUUUUAUUCAGACUAAUGCUCUGAAAGUAUUUAACUUGUUUACUAACAAUCUACACUCGAAAAUAUUAAUACUCACACAGAAGUAGACAUGCCAUGGCUAGCAGGUGCAAGGUCCUCAAAUACUCAUAACAGAAAACAACAAAUGCGUAUGUCCAUUUAUGAUCUUUUCACAUGAUAAUAACACUAUGAGUUAGUUAAUUAUAUGUGUGGAAUUUAAAGUGAUCAACAUGUGACUGUGACUAUUGUCGCUUUUUUGUGGUAGGCCAUGGUUAAAAGGCAAUACAAAAUAUUUGCUACUUUUACUGAUAUUUUGGGUCCACAUCUAAAACUGUCCCUAAACAUUAUGUUGUCUUACAUUAAUGAAAAUAACUUCUUAAGGCACUCAGUCGCAAGUUAUGAUUCUACCAACCUACAAUAUUUACUCAUUCUGUAAAAUGAUCAUGUGAACACCCACUUUAUAUGAAGGCACUUACUAAUUUAAGAUCGGUAACCACUUUAUAUGAAGGCACUUACUAAUUUAAGAUGGGUAUGUUCUGAAUUGUAAUUCCACUGGUUUAUGAAACUACAUAAGAUGUUAUAUGUGCAUGGUACUACAGUUUUGGCACUGAAAUUGUUUUGGUAUAUUUUCAUUCCGAUAGGUUUGCAAUAUUGUAGGAAUCAUCUGGAGAUGGGUUAUAGAUAUUAAGCUAUGUAGGAAAUGAUUUUGAGCUAACAAGCCUUGAACUUGCUUUCUGUUGACCUUUGUACGCAUGGGUUCGGUAUGAUGCAAUGUAGGCAUUGUUUGUUGUUGAAUGGAUUAUUUUUUCCUUCUAGGUAACAUCUCAUGCUUAGAAUGAACUCUUUGUACAUAUUGUUUUGUUUAUAUCCUCUUCUUUUUGCCAUAGACAAAUAGUGGCGUGACUCUGAUGUAUGUUUCACUAGCCUUUUAUUAUCAACUUUUUUUUGGAAGCUAGAAUAUCAGUAAUGGGUUUAAUGAGUCCAUUUGCUUAGAUUAAAUGAGUUUUGUAUGGUUUUAUAUCAGUUUUGGAAGCUAAAUCAUCAUGCCUUUGUUCGUUUGCAUCUCCUGUUGGUUUGUUCUUAUAUAAUCCCUUUAGAUGUGUAACUUUUGCACAAUCAUAAGCCCUUUAGAAUCCUAAAAUCUUUCUUCGACAAGUUGUUUGGACCGGCACCCUCGUGCCAAAGCGCGCCGCUGGUGUCCUUGUUUCCAAGUAAAGGAAGGAAAAUGUUUCAUCAUUGGCCAGUGCAGGUAUUGCUCUAUAGCUGAUAUAUUGCUUAGUUUCUUCAUGGUUUUAAUUUUGUAGCCCCUCAUUAAAAUUGCUUGGGAACAUGAGGCUUAAAAGUUUCAACCCCGUUCAAGCGCUUCAAAGCUUUGCAUGUGUUCUAUUUUAUUUUAAAUAAUUUAACAAUUCUUCUAUUUUUACCCAUACUUACCUUUUAUGGGAAAAUAGUUUGUGAAUUCCCCAUUGAGAUUGGAGUACUUAUAUAUGUGUUGUAUAACUUGUAUUGAUGUGGUCAUAACGAAGCAACUGCAAAUCUUUUUUAGUUCCUUAUGCUGAAAAUACUCUUAUGUGACACCAUAUGUCUACUAACACAUAGUGAGGUUUUGCAGGUGCUCCAGUUUUAGAAGAACUACAUCUCUCUAGUCAUUUUUUCUUCAAGACAAUGAUCAUUAUCUACUACCUUGUGCGAUGCAUAGGUUAUUGCACUAUUAGUGUAUCUUCUAAUAAAAGAUGGUCUACUGUAAUCUCUACCUGGAUUGUGUCAUGCUGGGAGGCCAUUUUUUAGAAGAACUACAUCUCUAUAGUCAUUUUUCUUUUAAGAUUUUUUUUUCUUUGCCGCCCACAUGUGCAUAUAGACUACAUGCAUGGAGCACUUUGAAUCAUGGCCAUAUAUACAAUACAAUAAGCAACCUUUUAAUCAUGAUGCAUAUGACCUCAUUUAGUGUAUUAUAAACAGGGGUUAAGCUAUGUGGUAUACAAUUAAUGGGAUUUCCCCCCUAAAGUAUUGAAAGCUAGAUAACUGGAGGUUGUGUAUUAUAAGAAUGUUGUACUAUUUGGUGUCACCUAUAACUGUUCUAUAUCAUAAAAUAUUCUGAGGUCUUGUGGUAUCGAAAUGCUGAAUUUUAUUGUUGCUCAGAUUAAUUUCAGCAAAAGAUAUUGUCAUAAAAUUAUAUUAGAACUCUGCUCCUGUAGGUUUGAGUGCAACUUUGCUCAUAUAGGUUUUAGUACACCUGUGCUCAUGUAGGUUUCACUAAAAAUAAUGUACUAUUUGGUGUCACCUAUAACCAAUUAAGUUCUGUUUAUAUAAGCUGACAAAUUGUAGACUAGAAGUUAGUGCUUGUGGUUAUAUUUCAUAUAUGUCUUCUUGAUUUUUCUUUACUGAUGCUUUUGAUUUCUCUAUAAUUCACAUAUGUAUAUUAGGUAUUACCGAAAGCAAUUGUAAAUAUUCGAUGUGAGUAUUACCGAGAUGGAUACUGGCUUUUUAUGGCAAGCAUAUUUUGCUACUUUCAAACAAGGAAUAACAUUCAUUAUAUUCUUCAAAUUGAGUACAGUCGAAUUGUUUCUGAACAAGCAUGGAUACAAAUAGUAAUGCAGUUUCACUCUUCCGAGGGAACCAGCAACAACCACAUUAUGAAAGGGUCAAGGAGCAGCAACAACCACAUUAUGGAAGGGUCAAGGAAGGGGCACUGAUCCGAUAUGCAUCAAUGACAAUGAAGUUAAAACUCUAAUAUAGCCUACUCUGACAUUUUAAGAUUAUUUGGUGAUACAAAAGUGCAUGUCCUAUCUAUAAAUAAUGGUUGGCUAUGCUAGAAACAUGAAUUCUACAUUUGAUUUUUGCAUGGACUAAAUGUUUCUUUUUUGUCUUGAACCUGAGAACGCCUACCCCCCUUCCCUUUUAGUUAGCCUCUCUGGUGCUAUGAAUCGACCCACUUCAUUUCCCAUUUUUCUAUGACCACUGGGAAUUUCCUAUAGGUUUUCGUUUGCUUAUUGAGUUGUCAGUUUUUUUAUAAUGUUCGUGAGCACUAAUAAUUUCCAUAGUGCGCUAUGCUUUUAGGACAUAAUUUUUUCAUGUGUGUUGAUGCAGUUAUGGUGUCCUUUACGAGAUAAUUAUAUGUACUCGCCAUUCUCUUAGAAGAUAUUAUGUUUCAUUAUGUUGCUAGACCAUUCUCUUAGAUUCUUUUUAAUGACCACUGAUGUAUCUCUGUGGUACUCUCUCUCUCUCUGUCUCUUCCUCUCAUCGUCUUGGAUUGCAGGUGACCACCAUCACGGAGCGCGACGAGGUCUGUGUAGUAGCUUGGACGGAAUCUCCAAUGAUUUAUCUCCUUCAUUGUUGUAAACAGAGGCUCUUAUAGCUUACAUAUUAAUCCCAUUCAUUAAUUUUGGUUUGGCUCUCCUAUGUUCCUGCUCUAAGUGUUUAACCUAAUGUCGUCUAAUUAGCUUUUUGUAAUCUCAUGAGAACUCAAUGCUGCCUUGCUUAUGGGGCGGACUAAAUGCAAUUAGCUAUUGUAGUCUCAUAUCACUGUGUUGAACUUGAUGAUGCCUUGCUUUUUGUAAAAGACUGGAUGUUACUUUUUCUCUUGAACAUGAAAAACAAUUGAUCUGUUGAAUAUA